This 495-nucleotide ribosomal RNA is filed under the name uncultured bacterium. Its description in RNAcentral is "partial 16S ribosomal RNA". It matches the Rfam family "Bacterial small subunit ribosomal RNA", at positions 28 to 507 of the family's 1533-position model. The record is from RNAcentral.
GAUGAACGCUGGCGGCGUGCCUAAUACAUGCAAGUCGAGCGAACAGACGAGGAGCUUGCUCCUCUGACGUUAGCGGCGGACGGGUGAGUAACACGUGGAUAACCUACCUAUAAGACUGGGAUAACUUCGGGAAACCGGAGCUAAUACCGGAUAAUAUAUUGAACCGCAUGGUUCAAUAGUGAAAGACGGUUUUGCUGUCACUUAUAGAUGGAUCCGCGCCGCAUUAGCUAGUUGGUAAGGUAACGGCUUACCAAGGCGACGAUGCGUAGCCGACCUGAGAGGGUGAUCGGCCACACUGGAACUGAGACACGGUCCAGACUCCUACGGGAGGCAGCAGUAGGGAAUCUUCCGCAAUGGGCGAAAGCCUGACGGAGCAACGCCGCGUGAGUGAUGAAGGUCUUCGGAUCGUAAAACUCUGUUAUUAGGGAAGAACAAAUGUGUAAGUAACUAUGCACGUCUUGACGGUACCUAAUCAAAGCCACGGCUAACUACGUG